GGACUCUCAGAAGAAAGACAAGCUGCUCUGCAGCCAGCUUCAGGUAGUGGAUUUCCUGCAGAACAUCCUGGCUCAGGACGACACUGCUAAGGGUCUGGACCCCUUGGCUUCUGAAGACACGAGCCGACAGAAGGCAAUUGCAGCUAAGGAACAAUGGAAAGAGCUGAAGGCCACCUACAGGGAGCACGUAGAGGCCAUCAAAAUUGGCCUCACCAAGGCCCUGACUCAGAUGGAGGAAGCCCAGAGGAAACGGACACAACUCCAGGAAGCCUUUGAGCAGCUCCAGGCCAAGAAACAAAUGGCCAUGGAGAAACGCAGAGCAGCCCAGAACCAGUGGCAGCUACAACAGGAGAAGCAUCUGCAGCAUCUGGCGGAGGUUUCUGCAGAGGGUAAGCUGUUGUUCCCUGAGGCUGAGGCUGAGGCAGAGAAUCUUCCAGAUGAUAAACCCCAGCAGCUGACUCGACCCCAGGAGCAGAGUACAGGAGACACCAUGGGGAGAGACCCUGGUGUGUCCUUCAAGGCUGUCGGUCUACAACCUGCUGGAGAUACAAAUUUGCCAUGACUUCCUGGAGGACAACAGCAUGGAGAAAGAUCCUAGAACAGGUCAGACCCAAUCAGGCCUUGGUGUCCCUGGACUGCAAGUGUGGAAGGAGGGAAAGCCUGGUUUACCUCUCUCUGCAUCUGAGCUCUGCUACCCAUGGAGCAGAUGGAUGGUGGGAACAGGAAAGAGCUUAUGUUACACCUCAUUCCCAUGCCCAGCCCACCCAGAGCUAACCCCUGUCUUCUUCCCCA
RNAcentral lists this small RNA (792 nucleotides) under Pongo abelii (Sumatran orangutan). RNAcentral describes it as "processed transcript". The record is from RNAcentral. Lineage: Eukaryota; Metazoa; Chordata; Mammalia; Primates; Hominidae.